AGAGUUUGAUCCUGGCUCAGGACGAACGCUGGCGGCGCGCCUCAUACAUGCAAGUCGAGCGUGAAGCGGGACUUCGGUCCCGUGGAAAGCGGCGAACGGGUGCGUAACACGUGAGCAACCUGCCCCGAAGACUGGGAUAACCCGAGGAAACUCGGGCUAAUACCGGAUGUCCUCUUCCGACCGCAUGACUGGGAGAGGAAAUGUUCAGGCGCUUCGGGAUGGGCUCGCGGUCUAUCAGCUUGUUGGUGGGGUAACGGCCUACCAAGGCGACGACGGAUAGCUGGUCUGAGAGGACGAUCAGCCACACUGGGACUGAGACACGGCCCAGACUCCUACAGGAGGCAGCAGUAGGGAAUCUUGCGCAAUGGGGGAAACCCUGACGCAGCGACGCCGCGUGCGGGAUGAAGGCCUUCGGGUUGUAAACCGCUUUCAGCAGGGACGAAAUUGACGGUACCUGCAGAAGAAGGCCCGGCCAACUACGUGCCAGCAGCCGCGGUAAUACGUAGGGGCCUAGCGUUGUCCGGAUUUAUUGGGCGUAAAGAGCUCGUAGGCGGUUCGGUAAGUCAGGUGUGAAAUCUCCACGCUCAACGUGGAGGCGCCACCUGAAACUGCCGUGACUCGAGUCCGGUAGGGGAGUGUGGAAUUCCCGGUGUAGCGGUGAAAUGCGCAGAUAUCGGGAGGAACACCAGUGGCGAAGGCGGCACUCUGGGCCGGUACUGACGCUGAGGAGCGAAAGCGUGGGGAGCGAACAGGAUUAGAUACCCUAGUAGUCC
This 773-nucleotide ribosomal RNA is filed under the name uncultured bacterium. Its description in RNAcentral is "bacterial SSU rRNA". It matches the Rfam family "Bacterial small subunit ribosomal RNA", at positions 8 to 796 of the family's 1533-position model. The record is from RNAcentral.